RNAcentral lists this ribosomal RNA (253 nucleotides) under uncultured bacterium. Its description in RNAcentral is "partial 16S ribosomal RNA". It matches the Rfam family "Bacterial small subunit ribosomal RNA", at positions 524 to 776 of the family's 1533-position model. The record is from RNAcentral.
UACGUAGGGGGCAAGCGUUGUUCGGAAUUACUGGGCGUAAAGGGCUCGUAGGCGGCCAACUAAGUCGGACGUGAAAUCCCCAGGCUCAACCUGGGAACUGCGUCCGAUACUGGAUGGCUUGAAUCCGGGAGAGGGAUGCAGAAUUCCAGGUGUAGCGGUGAAAUGCGUAGAUAUCUGGAGGAAUACCGGUGGCGAAGGCGGCAUCCUGGACCGGCAUUGACGCUGAGGAGCGAAAGCCAGGGGAGCAAACGGG